This 253-nucleotide ribosomal RNA is filed under the name uncultured bacterium. RNAcentral describes it as "partial 16S ribosomal RNA". It matches the Rfam family "Bacterial small subunit ribosomal RNA", at positions 524 to 776 of the family's 1533-position model. The record is from RNAcentral.
UACGUAGGUGACCAGCGUUGUCCGGAUUUACUGGGUGUAAAGAGCGCGCAGGCGGUCGUUCAAGUCGAGUGUGAAAGCCCCCGGCUCAACUGGGGAGGGUCACUCGAUACUGAUCGACUUGAAGGCAGGAGAGGGAAGCGGAAUUCCCGGUGUAGUGGUGAAAUGCGUAGAUAUCGGGAGGAACACCGGUGGCGAAGGCGGCGACCUGGGUAGAUACUGACGCUGAGGUGCGAAAGCGUGGGGAGCAAACAGG